This is a long non-coding RNA of Canis lupus familiaris (dog), 1583 nucleotides long. RefSeq lists it as uncharacterized. The record is from RefSeq and is a predicted model, not a curated record. The transcript has 2 exons. Lineage: Eukaryota; Metazoa; Chordata; Mammalia; Carnivora; Canidae.
CACAGGGAAGGUACUCAGAAUGUGUCAGUAGGUAGAGGGGAAAGGAAGACCACCAUGCCUAAGUCCCAGGUUCUCUCUAAGGAUAGCCUGAGAGCCCCAAAUUCAUUAACCAGAGGAUGGGACCCAAGCCAGAAUUCUAUGGAAUUUUCCUGGAAAGCAGGCUACCUGAAGCCAUCAGAACCUGAAGAGGGAGCUCAGGAAAUUUAAAUUUCCCAGCAACAGAUAACAGAAUAUAAAGGCCACAAGGUCAACUGUUUUGUUCACAGCCAUACUCACAACACACAGAGCAGCAUGGGAUGGGUGAGGAAAUGGACAGAUGGAUAAAUAAGCUUAUGGAUCACAGGGCAUUUUGGAGGAAGACUCAGGAAAGGUAAGAAGGGGAAAACAGACUGACGAGAACCAGACAGAGGCCAAGCUACUCACAGACCCCUCCCCAUCCCUGAUGGGCCAUGCCUUUUGGAGGAGCUCUAAGGACAAUGCAGGUCCACCUCCAGCUGAGUCCCUGGGGAACUCAUGUGAGCUCCUGAGUACUGUGGUCACAUCUCAGAGCCCAAGAGCUGGCAUGAUAAACUCUUGUCAGAGGCCACUCCUUGCCACUGAGAAAUCAUGACUGUGAAGGGACUCUCAGCCAUGUGUCCACACUCCACACAUGAGAAGUGAGCACACUGGUCAGAGCAAGUGCUGCUGACCCUGUGGGCAGUUAGCUCCGAGGGAACAGGGUCACAGCUGUAGACCAACCAUACCCACUCAUGACCCAGGCAGGAGUGCUGAAAUCCAGGCUUCUAGAUCAUGAGGAACCAGGGGAAAGGAUCAUCAGGAAGACCACUCAGCACAAACCACAUGCCCUAGUGACUGUGGGCCAGCUAGGCCCAGUUCUGUGGGAAACAAUGGCAUAUGCUCAGAUGCUGUCAAUACCCCUUGGCCAUACGCACCACCCGACCCAGCCACGGAGAGCAAAGCUCUAGUGAGGUAAUGUCAUGGGAACUCUCUGAGCUUUGGGACUAGAUGGAUCUGUGUCCAGACCGCUUCUGGAGCAGGUGACUCCGAACUGCUGGGUGACCUAGAAUGACCACCAGAAUCUCAGUUUCCCCAACCAUAAAAUGGAGAUGAUAAUGCACACUUCCCCCGGCUAUAAGACAGAGAUUAAAGGUUAAAACUGCAAACCACAUGGCACAAUGUCUGAAACAGAAAUGUUCAAAGGAGUUGAGGCACUAUUAUGAUUUAUCAACAUAAUUAUUAUAAAUGCUGUUCUUCAACUCACUGCCUGACCUAGUUCUACUCAUCCCUGCGCUCUUGCGAGUUCCUCAAAAAAGUUUCUUCUAGUGCUGGCUGCCCCUGUCCUGCAGGCUAAAUUGAAGCUCCCCUGCUCAUCGAUAAUACAAUCUCAGCACCACUGGCCUCUUCCUGCCUAGCGCUCAUCCCAGUUUGAAAGCAAAUGUUUCCUUGAGUGACAAUUUGCCGCCUGAUUCUCCUAUUUGACCAUGAACCCACAGGGAGCAGAGACUGGGUCUGUUUUUCUCACUACGGUGUACCCAGGACAAUGCCUGACCAGCAGCAGGCCUCAAUAAAUACUUGAUAACCAA